Molecule: ribosomal RNA, 160 nt
Filed under: Acridocarpus smeathmannii
Lineage: Eukaryota; Viridiplantae; Streptophyta; Magnoliopsida; Malpighiales; Malpighiaceae
Description: 5.8S ribosomal RNA
Rfam family: 5.8S ribosomal RNA
About the family: 5.8S ribosomal RNA (5.8S rRNA) is a component of the large subunit of the eukaryotic ribosome. It is transcribed by RNA polymerase I as part of the 45S precursor that also contains 18S and 28S rRNA.
Source: RNAcentral
ACGACUCUCGGCAACGGAUAUCUCGGCCCUUGCAUCGAUGAAGAACGUAGCAAGAUGCGAUACUUGGUGUGAAUUGCAGAAUCCCGCGAACCAUCGAGUCUUUGAACGCAAGUUGCGCCCGAAGCCAUUCGGCCGAGGGCACGUCUGCCUGGGUGUCGAA